RNAcentral lists this ribosomal RNA (2900 nucleotides) under Klebsiella pneumoniae. Its description in RNAcentral is "bacterial LSU rRNA". It matches the Rfam family "Bacterial large subunit ribosomal RNA". Lineage: Bacteria; Pseudomonadati; Pseudomonadota; Gammaproteobacteria; Enterobacterales; Enterobacteriaceae. The record is from RNAcentral.
UUAAGCGACUAAGCGUACACGGUGGAUGCCCUGGCAGUCAGAGGCGAUGAAGGACGUGCUAAUCUGCGAAAAGCGUCGGUAAGGUGAUAUGAACCGUUAUAACCGGCGAUGUCCGAAUGGGGAAACCCAGUGCAAUUCGUUGCACUAUCGUUAACUGAAUACAUAGGUUAACGAGGCGAACCGGGGGAACUGAAACAUCUAAGUACCCCGAGGAAAAGAAAUCAACCGAGAUUCCCCCAGUAGCGGCGAGCGAACGGGGAGCAGCCCAGAGUCUGAAUCAGCUUGUGUGUUAGUGGAACGGUCUGGAAAGUCCGACGGUACAGGGUGAUAGUCCCGUACACCAAAAUGCACAGGUUGUGAACUCGAAGAGUAGGGCGGGACACGUGGUAUCCUGUCUGAAUAUGGGGGGACCAUCCUCCAAGGCUAAAUACUCCUGACUGACCGAUAGUGAACCAGUACCGUGAGGGAAAGGCGAAAAGAACCCCGGCGAGGGGAGUGAAAAAGAACCUGAAACCGUGUACGUACAAGCAGUGGGAGCACCUUCGGGUGUGACUGCGUACCUUUUGUAUAAUGGGUCAGCGACUUAUAUUCUGUAGCAAGGUUAACCGUAUAGGGGAGCCGCAGGGAAACCGAGUCUUAACUGGGCGUUAAGUUGCAGGGUAUAGACCCGAAACCCGGUGAUCUAGCCAUGGGCAGGUUGAAGGUUGGGUAACACUAACUGGAGGACCGAACCGACUAAUGUUGAAAAAUUAGCGGAUGACUUGUGGCUGGGGGUGAAAGGCCAAUCAAACCGGGAGAUAGCUGGUUCUCCCCGAAAGCUAUUUAGGUAGCGCCUCGUGAAUUCAUCUUCGGGGGUAGAGCACUGUUUCGGCUAGGGGGUCAUCCCGACUUACCAACCCGAUGCAAACUACGAAUACCGAAGAAUGUUAUCACGGGAGACACACGGCGGGUGCUAACGUCCGUCGUGAAGAGGGAAACAACCCAGACCGCCAGCUAAGGUCCCAAAGUCAUGGUUAAGUGGGAAACGAUGUGGGAAGGCACAGACAGCCAGGAUGUUGGCUUAGAAGCAGCCAUCAUUUAAAGAAAGCGUAAUAGCUCACUGGUCGAGUCGGCCUGCGCGGAAGAUGUAACGGGGCUAAACCAUGCACCGAAGCUGCGGCAGCGACACUAUGUGUUGUUGGGUAGGGGAGCGUUCUGUAAGCCUGCGAAGGUGACCUGUGAGGCAUGCUGGAGGUAUCAGAAGUGCGAAUGCUGACAUAAGUAACGAUAAAGCGGGUGAAAAGCCCGCUCGCCGGAAGACCAAGGGUUCCUGUCCAACGUUAAUCGGGGCAGGGUGAGUCGACCCCUAAGGCGAGGCCGAAAGGCGUAGUCGAUGGGAAACAGGUUAAUAUUCCUGUACUUGGUGUUACUGCGAAGGGGGGACGGAGAAGGCUAUGUUAGCCGGGCGACGGUUGUCCCGGUUUAAGCAUGUAGGCUGGUUGUCCAGGCAAAUCCGGAUAAUCAAGGCUGAGGUGUGAUGACGAGGCACUACGGUGCUGAAGUAACAAAUGCCCUGCUUCCAGGAAAAGCCUCUAAGCAUCAGGUAACAUUAAAUCGUACCCCAAACCGACACAGGUGGUCAGGUAGAGAAUACCAAGGCGCUUGAGAGAACUCGGGUGAAGGAACUAGGCAAAAUGGUGCCGUAACUUCGGGAGAAGGCACGCUGGUGUGUAGGUGAAGCCCCUGCGGAUGGAGCUGAGACCAGUCGAAGAUACCAGCUGGCUGCAACUGUUUAUUAAAAACACAGCACUGUGCAAACACGAAAGUGGACGUAUACGGUGUGACGCCUGCCCGGUGCCGGAAGGUUAAUUGAUGGGGUUAUCCGUAAGGAGAAGCUCUUGAUCGAAGCCCCGGUAAACGGCGGCCGUAACUAUAACGGUCCUAAGGUAGCGAAAUUCCUUGUCGGGUAAGUUCCGACCUGCACGAAUGGCGUAAUGAUGGCCAGGCUGUCUCCACCCGAGACUCAGUGAAAUUGAACUCGCUGUGAAGAUGCAGUGUACCCGCGGCAAGACGGAAAGACCCCGUGAACCUUUACUAUAGCUUGACACUGAACAUUGAGCCUUGAUGUGUAGGAUAGGUGGGAGGCUUUGAAGCGUGGACGCCAGUCUGCGUGGAGCCAACCUUGAAAUACCACCCUUUAAUGUUUGAUGUUCUAACGUUGGCCCCUGACCGGGGUUGCGGACAGUGUCUGGUGGGUAGUUUGACUGGGGCGGUCUCCUCCCAAAGCGUAACGGAGGAGCACGAAGGUUAGCUAAUCCUGGUCGGACAUCAGGAGGUUAGUGCAAUGGCAUAAGCUAGCUUGACUGCGAGCGUGACGGCGCGAGCAGGUGCGAAAGCAGGUCAUAGUGAUCCGGUGGUUCUGAAUGGAAGGGCCAUCGCUCAACGGAUAAAAGGUACUCCGGGGAUAACAGGCUGAUACCGCCCAAGAGUUCAUAUCGACGGCGGUGUUUGGCACCUCGAUGUCGGCUCAUCACAUCCUGGGGCUGAAGUAGGUCCCAAGGGUAUGGCUGUUCGCCAUUUAAAGUGGUACGCGAGCUGGGUUUAGAACGUCGUGAGACAGUUCGGUCCCUAUCUGCCGUGGGCGCUGGAGAAUUGAGGGGGGCUGCUCCUAGUACGAGAGGACCGGAGUGGACGCAUCACUGGUGUUCGGGUUGUCAUGCCAAUGGCACUGCCCGGUAGCUAAAUGCGGAAGAGAUAAGUGCUGAAAGCAUCUAAGCACGAAACUUGCCCCGAGAUGAGUUCUCCCUGAGACUAUAAGUCUCCUGAAGGAACGUUAAAGACGAUGACGUUGAUAGGCCGGGUGUGUAAGCGCAGCGAUGCGUUGAGCUAACCGGUACUAAUGAACCGUGAGGCUUAACCUU